This 499-nucleotide ribosomal RNA is filed under the name uncultured bacterium. RNAcentral's name for it is "partial 16S ribosomal RNA". It matches the Rfam family "Bacterial small subunit ribosomal RNA", at positions 30 to 523 of the family's 1533-position model. The record is from RNAcentral.
AUUGAACGCUGGCGGCAGGCCUAACACAUGCAAGUCGAGCGGAUGACGGGAGCUGCUCCUUGAUUCAGCGGCGGACGGGUGGGUAAUGCCUAGGAAUCUGCCUGGUAGGGGGGGGCAACGGUUCGAAAGGAACGCUAAUAACGCAUACGUCCUAAGGGAGAAAGCAGGGGACCUUUGGGCCUUGCGGCAUCAGAUGAGGCUAGGUCGGAUUAGCUAGUUGGUGGGGUAAUGGCUCACCAAGGCGACGAUCCGUAACUGGUCUGAGAGGAUGAUCAGUCACACUGGAACUGAGACACGGUCCAGACUCCUACGGGAGGCAGCAGUGGGGAAUAUUGGACAAUGGGCGAAAGCCUGAUCCAGCCAUGCCGCGUGUGUGAAGAAGGUCUUCGGAUUGUAAAGCACUUUAAGUUGGGAGGAAGGGCAGUAAGUUAAUACCUUGCUGUUUUGACGUUACCGACAGAAUAAGCACCGGCUAACUCUGUGCCAGCAGCCGCCGCAG